This 82-nucleotide transfer RNA is filed under the name Blattella germanica (German cockroach). RNAcentral describes it as "tRNA-Ser (GCT) (tRNA-Ser-GCT-30-1)". It matches the Rfam family "tRNA". From Rfam's summary of the family: Transfer RNA (tRNA) molecules are approximately 80 nucleotides in length. Their secondary structure includes four short double-helical elements and three loops (D, anti-codon, and T loops). Further hydrogen bonds mediate the characteristic L-shaped molecular structure. tRNAs have two regions of fundamental functional importance: the anti-codon, which is responsible for specific mRNA codon recognition, and the 3' end, to which the tRNAs corresponding amino acid is attached (by aminoacyl-tRNA synthetases). tRNAs cope with the degeneracy of the genetic code in two manners: having more than one tRNA (with a specific anti-codon) for a particular amino acid; and 'wobble' base-pairing, i.e. permitting non-standard base-pairing at the 3rd anti-codon position. The record is from RNAcentral. Lineage: Eukaryota; Metazoa; Arthropoda; Insecta; Blattodea; Blattellidae.
GACGAGGUGGCCGAGUGGUUAAGGCGUUGGACUGCUAAUCCAAUGUGCUCUACACGAGUGGGUUCGAAUGCCAUUCUCGUCG